GACCUUCGGGUUGUAAACCUCUUUCAGUAGGGAAGAAGCGCAAGUGACGGUACCUACAGAAGAAGCACCGGCUAACUACGUGCCAGCAGCCGCGGUAAUACGUAGGGUGCGAGCGUUGUCCGGAAUUAUUGGGCGUAAAGAGCUUGUAGGCGGUUUGUCGCGUCUGCUGUGAAAAUCCGGGGCUCAACCCCGGACUUGCAGUGGGUACGGGCAGACUAGAGUGUGGUAGGGGAGACUGGAAUUCCUGGUGUAGCGGUGAAAUGCGCAGAUAUCAGGAGGAACACCGAUGGCGAAGGCAGGUCUCUGGGCCACUACUGACGCUGAGAAGCGAAAGCGUGGGGAGCGAACAGGAUUAGAUACCCUGGUAGUCCACGCCGUAAACGUUGGGAACUAGGUGUGGGUCUCAUUCCACGAGAUCUGUGCCGCAGCUAACGCAUUAAGUUCCCCGCCUGGGGAGUACGGCCGCAAGGCUAAAACUCAAAGGAAUUGACGGGGGCCCGCACAAGCGGCGGAGUAUGUGGAUUAAUUCGAUGCAACGCGAAGAACCUUACCAAGGCUUGACAUGUGCCGGAAACGCCCAGAGAUGGGUGCCCCGCAAGGUCGGUACACAGGUGGUGCAUGGUUGUCGUCAGCUCGUGUCGUGAGAUGUUGGGUUAAGUCCCGCAACGAGCGCAACCCUCGUUCCAUGUUGCCAGCGCGUAAU
This 703-nucleotide ribosomal RNA is filed under the name uncultured Streptomyces sp. RNAcentral describes it as "bacterial SSU rRNA". It matches the Rfam family "Bacterial small subunit ribosomal RNA", at positions 413 to 1129 of the family's 1533-position model. Lineage: Bacteria; Bacillati; Actinomycetota; Actinomycetes; Kitasatosporales; Streptomycetaceae. The record is from RNAcentral.